This 253-nucleotide ribosomal RNA is filed under the name uncultured bacterium. RNAcentral describes it as "partial 16S ribosomal RNA". It matches the Rfam family "Bacterial small subunit ribosomal RNA", at positions 524 to 776 of the family's 1533-position model. The record is from RNAcentral.
UACGUAGGGGGCGAGCGUUGUCCGGAAUUAUUGGGCGUAAAGAGCGUGUAGGCGGUUCGGUAAGUCUGCCGUGAAAACCUGGGGCUCAACCCCGGGCGUGCGGUGGAUACUGCCGGGCUAGAGGGUGGUAGAGGCGAGUGGAAUUCCCGGUGUAGCGGUGAAAUGCGCAGAUAUCGGGAAGAACACCCGUGGCGAAGGCGGCGCUCUGGGCCGGUACUGACGCUGAGGAGCGAAAGCGUGGGGAGCAAACAGG